RNAcentral lists this ribosomal RNA (2968 nucleotides) under Bacillus thuringiensis. RNAcentral's name for it is "bacterial LSU rRNA". It matches the Rfam family "Bacterial large subunit ribosomal RNA". The record is from RNAcentral. Lineage: Bacteria; Bacillati; Bacillota; Bacilli; Caryophanales; Bacillaceae.
UUUGGUUAAGUUAGAAAGGGCGCACGGUGGAUGCCUUGACACUAGGAGUCGAUGAAGGACGGGACUAACGCCGAUAUGCUUCGGGGAGCUGUAAGUAAGCUUUGAUCCGAAGAUUUCCGAAUGGGGAAACCCACCAUACGUAAUGGUAUGGUAUCCUUAUCUGAAUACAUAGGGUAAGGAAGACAGACCCAGGGAACUGAAACAUCUAAGUACCUGGAGGAAGAGAAAGCAAAUGCGAUUUCCUGAGUAGCGGCGAGCGAAACGGAACAUAGCCCAAACCAAGAGGCUUGCCUCUUGGGGUUGUAGGACAUUCUAUACGGAGUUACAAAGGAACGAGGUAGACGAAGCGACCUGGAAAGGUCCGUCGUAGAGGGUAACAACCCCGUAGUCGAAACUUCGUUCUCUCUUGAAUGUAUCCUGAGUACGGCGGAACACGUGAAAUUCCGUCGGAAUCUGGGAGGACCAUCUCCCAAGGCUAAAUACUCCCUAGUGAUCGAUAGUGAACCAGUACCGUGAGGGAAAGGUGAAAAGCACCCCGGAAGGGGAGUGAAAGAGAUCCUGAAACCGUGUGCCUACAAAUAGUCAGAGCCCGUUAAUGGGUGAUGGCGUGCCUUUUGUAGAAUGAACCGGCGAGUUACGAUCCCGUGCGAGGUUAAGCUGAAGAGGCGGAGCCGCAGCGAAAGCGAGUCUGAAUAGGGCGUUUAGUACGUGGUCGUAGACCCGAAACCAGGUGAUCUACCCAUGUCCAGGGUGAAGUUCAGGUAACACUGAAUGGAGGCCCGAACCCACGCACGUUGAAAAGUGCGGGGAUGAGGUGUGGGUAGCGGAGAAAUUCCAAUCGAACCUGGAGAUAGCUGGUUCUCCCCGAAAUAGCUUUAGGGCUAGCCUUAAGUGUAAGAGUCUUGGAGGUAGAGCACUGAUUGGACUAGGGGUCCUCAUCGGAUUACCGAAUUCAGUCAAACUCCGAAUGCCAAUGACUUAUCCUUAGGAGUCAGACUGCGAGUGAUAAGAUCCGUAGUCAAAAGGGAAACAGCCCAGACCGCCAGCUAAGGUCCCAAAGUGUGUAUUAAGUGGAAAAGGAUGUGGAGUUGCUUAGACAACUAGGAUGUUGGCUUAGAAGCAGCCACCAUUUAAAGAGUGCGUAAUAGCUCACUAGUCGAGUGACUCUGCGCCGAAAAUGUACCGGGGCUAAAUACACCACCGAAGCUGCGGAUUGAUACCAAUGGUAUCAGUGGUAGGGGAGCGUUCUAAGGACAGUGAAGUCAGACCGUAAGGACUGGUGGAGUGCUUAGAAGUGAGAAUGCCGGUAUGAGUAGCGAAAGACGGGUGAGAAUCCCGUCCACCGAAUGCCUAAGGUUUCCUGAGGAAGGCUCGUCCGCUCAGGGUUAGUCAGGACCUAAGCCGAGGCCGACAGGCGUAGGCGAUGGACAACAGGUUGAUAUUCCUGUACCACCUCUUUAUCGUUUGAGCAAUGGAGGGACGCAGAAGGAUAGAAGAAGCGUGCGAUUGGUUGUGCACGUCCAAGCAGUUAGGCUGAUAAGUAGGCAAAUCCGCUUAUCGUGAAGGCUGAGCUGUGAUGGGGAAGCUCCUUAUGGAGCGAAGUCUUUGAUUCCCCGCUGCCAAGAAAAGCUUCUAGCGAGAUAAAAGGUGCCUGUACCGCAAACCGACACAGGUAGGCGAGGAGAGAAUCCUAAGGUGUGCGAGAGAACUCUGGUUAAGGAACUCGGCAAAAUGACCCCGUAACUUCGGGAGAAGGGGUGCUUUCUUAACGGAAAGCCGCAGUGAAUAGGCCCAAGCGACUGUUUAGCAAAAACACAGCUCUCUGCGAAGCCGUAAGGCGAAGUAUAGGGGGUGACACCUGCCCGGUGCUGGAAGGUUAAGGAGAGGGGUUAGCGUAAGCGAAGCUCUGAACUGAAGCCCCAGUAAACGGCGGCCGUAACUAUAACGGUCCUAAGGUAGCGAAAUUCCUUGUCGGGUAAGUUCCGACCCGCACGAAAGGUGUAACGAUUUGGGCACUGUCUCAACCAGAGACUCGGUGAAAUUAUAGUACCUGUGAAGAUGCAGGUUACCCGCGACAGGACGGAAAGACCCCGUGGAGCUUUACUGUAGCCUGAUAUUGAAUUUUGGUACAGUUUGUACAGGAUAGGCGGGAGCCAUUGAAACCGGAGCGCUAGCUUCGGUGGAGGCGCUGGUGGGAUACCGCCCUGACUGUAUUGAAAUUCUAACCUACGGGUCUUAUCGACCCGGGAGACAGUGUCAGGUGGGCAGUUUGACUGGGGCGGUCGCCUCCUAAAGUGUAACGGAGGCGCCCAAAGGUUCCCUCAGAAUGGUUGGAAAUCAUUCGUAGAGUGCAAAGGCAUAAGGGAGCUUGACUGCGAGACCUACAAGUCGAGCAGGGACGAAAGUCGGGCUUAGUGAUCCGGUGGUUCCGCAUGGAAGGGCCAUCGCUCAACGGAUAAAAGCUACCCCGGGGAUAACAGGCUUAUCUCCCCCAAGAGUCCACAUCGACGGGGAGGUUUGGCACCUCGAUGUCGGCUCAUCGCAUCCUGGGGCUGUAGUCGGUCCCAAGGGUUGGGCUGCAUCGCAUCCUGGGGCUGUAGUCGGUCCCAAGGGUUGGGCUGUUCGCCCAUUAAAGCGGUACGCGAGCUGGGUUCAGAACGUCGUGAGACAGUUCGGUCCCUAUCCGUCGUGGGCGUAGGAAAUUUGAGAGGAGCUGUCCUUAGUACGAGAGGACCGGGAUGGACGCACCGCUGGUGUACCAGUUGUUCUGCCAAGGGCAUAGCUGGGUAGCUAUGUGCGGAAGGGAUAAGUGCUGAAAGCAUCUAAGCAUGAAGCCCCCCUCAAGAUGAGAUUUCCCAUAGCGUAAGCUAGUAAGAUCCCUGAAAGAUGAUCAGGUUGAUAGGUUCGAGGUGGAAGCAUGGUGACAUGUGGAGCUGACGAAUACUAAUAGAUCGAGGACUUAACCAUA